Molecule: long non-coding RNA, 210 nt
Organism: Lathyrus oleraceus (garden pea)
Lineage: Eukaryota; Viridiplantae; Streptophyta; Magnoliopsida; Fabales; Fabaceae
Exons: 2
Source: RefSeq, a predicted model, not a curated record
UCGCUUACCCAUCGCUCAACCUCGUUAACCAGAGAGAGUGCAAACCCAUGGUUUUAAAGAGAGAAGUCAAGCGGGAAUCUCACCUUUGGCAACGACAAUGAAUCAGCUUAGGGUUUCGAAUUGGUCCCUUCUUCCAAAAGAGUAUCUCUGUAACCUCCUUUCUGAUGUGCUCAGUUCGGAUUGGCUUGUUUAAUGCUAAAACCGAAAACG